This 205-nucleotide ribosomal RNA is filed under the name uncultured bacterium. RNAcentral describes it as "partial 16S ribosomal RNA". It matches the Rfam family "Bacterial small subunit ribosomal RNA", at positions 524 to 727 of the family's 1533-position model. The record is from RNAcentral.
UACGUAGGGGGCAAGCGUUGUCCGGAUUUAUUGGGCGUAAAGAGCGUGUAGGCGGCCAGGUAGGUCUGCUGUGAAAACUCGAGGCUUAACCUCGAGCUGUCGGCGGAAACCAUCUGGCUAGAGUCCGGAAGAGGAGAAUGGAAUUCCCGGUGUAGCGGUGAAAUGCGCAGAUAAUCGGGAAGAACACCCGUGGCGAAGGCGGGCU